This 443-nucleotide ribosomal RNA is filed under the name Desoria gracilliseta. RNAcentral's name for it is "partial 16S ribosomal RNA". The stretch from base 290 to 443 matches the Rfam family "Bacterial large subunit ribosomal RNA", at positions 2473 to 2624 of the family's 2925-position model. Lineage: Eukaryota; Metazoa; Arthropoda; Collembola; Entomobryomorpha; Isotomidae. The record is from RNAcentral.
AUAAUAAUUAGUUCCUUAAUUAGGGAAUGGAAUGAAUGGCUAAACGUAGUUUUGCUUUAUUGAGUAAUAAAAUUGAAAUUGAAUUGUUAGUGAAAAUGCUUACUUUUUAUAAAAGACGAUAAGACCCUUUAGAUCUUUAUGUUAAAAUCAAAUUUUUAAAUUAGAAGAAUUUUAAAUUUGAUUUUAACAUUUAGUUGGGGCAACUAAAGAAAAAUUUUAUCUUCUUUAAAUUUAAUAUUUAUGAAAUUUUACAUCUUAAAAUUUAACUUUUAAAAAAAGUUACCUAAGGGAUAACAGCGUAAUUAAAAUUAAGAGCCCAUAUCGACAUUUUAGUUUGCGACCUCGAUGUUGAAUUAAGAAUUCUUAUUGGAGCAGCAUUCAAAAAAAAAGAUAGUCUGUUCGACUAUUAAAUUCUUACAUGAUUUGAGUUCAAAUCGGCGUAA